Molecule: ribosomal RNA, 642 nt
Filed under: uncultured Actinomycetes bacterium
Lineage: Bacteria; Bacillati; Actinomycetota; Actinomycetes
Description: bacterial SSU rRNA
Rfam family: Bacterial small subunit ribosomal RNA
Source: RNAcentral
CGCGGCCUAUCAGCUUGUUGGUGGGGUAAUGGCCUACCAAGGCGACGACGGGUAGCCGGCCUGAGAGGGCGACCGGCCACACUGGGACUGAGACACGGCCCAGACUCCUACGGGAGGCAGCAGUGGGGAAUAUUGCACAAUGGGCGAAAGCCUGAUGCAGCGACGCCGCGUGAGGGAUGACGGCCUUCGGGUUGUAAACCUCUUUCAGCAGGGAAGAAGCGAAAGUGACGGUACCUGCAGAAGAAGCACCGGCUAACUAUGUGCCAGCAGCCGCGGUAAUACAUAGGGUGCAAGCGUUGUCCGGAAUUAUUGGGCGUAAAGAGCUCGUAGGUCGUUUGCCGCGUCGAUUGUGAAAAUCUGAGGCUCAACCUCAGACCUGCAGUCGAUACGGGCAAACUAGAGUGUGGUAGGGGAGACUGGAAUUCCUGGUGUAGCGGUGGAAUGCGCAGAUAUCAGGAGGAACACCAAUGGCGAAGGCAGGUCUCUGGGCCAUAACUGACACUGAGGAGCGAAAGCGCGGGGAGCGAACAGGAUUAGAUACCCUGGUAGUCCGCGCCGUAAACGGUGGGCACUAGCUGUGAGGACCUUCCACGGUCUUCGCGACGCAGCAAACGCAUUAAGUGCCCCGCCUGGGGAGUACGG